This 564-nucleotide ribosomal RNA is filed under the name Bacillus sp. (in: firmicutes). RNAcentral describes it as "bacterial SSU rRNA". It matches the Rfam family "Bacterial small subunit ribosomal RNA", at positions 112 to 658 of the family's 1533-position model. The record is from RNAcentral. Lineage: Bacteria; Bacillati; Bacillota; Bacilli; Caryophanales; Bacillaceae.
AACACUUGGGUAACCUGCCCAUAAGACUGGGAUAACUCCUGGAAACCCGGGCUAAUACCUUGAUAACAUUUUGAACCGCAUGGUUCAAAAUUGAAAGGCGGCUUCUGCUGUCAAUUAUGGAUGGACCCUCGUCACAGUAACUAGUUGGUGAGGUAACGGCUCACCUCGGCAACUAUGCGUACCCUACCUGAGAGGGUGAUCGGCCACACUGGGACUGAGACACGGGCCAAACUCCUACUGGAGGCAUCCCUACGGAAUCUUCCUCAGUGGACGAAAGUCUGACUGAACAGCCCCACUUGAGUGAUGAAAGCUUUAUGGUCGUAUAACUCUGUUGUUAGGGAAGAACAAGUGCUAGUUGAAUAAGCUGGCACCUUGACAGUACCUAACUGUCAGCCACGGCUAACUACGUGCCCGCAUGCCGCGGUGAAUACGUAAGUGGCAAGCGUUAUCCGGAAUUAUCUGCGCGUAAAGCGCGCGCAAGUGGUUUCUUAAGUCUGAUGUGAAAGCCCACGGCGUCAACCGUGGAGGGUCAUUGGAAACUGCCGAGACUCCCAGUGCAGAAGU